RNAcentral lists this transfer RNA (74 nucleotides) under Massilia eurypsychrophila. RNAcentral describes it as "tRNA-Cys". It matches the Rfam family "tRNA". From Rfam's summary of the family: Transfer RNA (tRNA) molecules are approximately 80 nucleotides in length. Their secondary structure includes four short double-helical elements and three loops (D, anti-codon, and T loops). Further hydrogen bonds mediate the characteristic L-shaped molecular structure. tRNAs have two regions of fundamental functional importance: the anti-codon, which is responsible for specific mRNA codon recognition, and the 3' end, to which the tRNAs corresponding amino acid is attached (by aminoacyl-tRNA synthetases). tRNAs cope with the degeneracy of the genetic code in two manners: having more than one tRNA (with a specific anti-codon) for a particular amino acid; and 'wobble' base-pairing, i.e. permitting non-standard base-pairing at the 3rd anti-codon position. Lineage: Bacteria; Pseudomonadati; Pseudomonadota; Betaproteobacteria; Burkholderiales; Oxalobacteraceae. RNAcentral also lists the same sequence under 1 other name. The record is from RNAcentral.
GGCGAGGUAGCAAAGAGGUCAUGCAGCGGCCUGCAAAGCCGUCCAGACAGGUUCGAUUCCUGUCCUCGCCUCCA